UCUUGCAACUAGCUCCUGAUCAACAAUAUAAUUUGCCAAGUUCUUCCGCAGAUACUAGUUUUAAUCAGAGUCCCUUGGCCCUAAAUUACGCUAAUGGAAAUGUAAGUAACAUGCCGCGGAGAAGUAAUGCUGAACAUACUGAUGUACCUAAUAAUGCAGCAGGAAUGGCAACAAAUUCUAGAAUGGAUAACCUUCAAGCUGGUUAUUAUGGUGACACUUACAAUAAUGCUACAAUGAAAGGUCGGACUAGUCUAGACAUUAAAGGACAUUCUGGGUUGGGAAUGAUUCCUCAGCAGACGUUUGGUGUUUCUGGUCAUAACAAUAUAGUAAAGAGCAGACAGUUUCCUGCUAAAUUUAAUAAGGAAAUCGAAGAGAUGUGGUUAGAGGUUCUGGACAAGAUCCAUUCAAAUAGCAUAAGGGAAUUUUUGUACCAAGAAGGCAGACUGGUCGGAGUCAGUUUUGGUGCAGGUACUAAUAGCAACUUGCAUCACCUCCUAACUUGUGCAGUAAAUGUUCCCUUUGUUCUACCUAAGUUUGUACUUAGUUUUUCAAUGAAACAUCUUUUGAAAAUUGUUUUAUAUCUUGGUAUCCUCUACUGCAGUUUGGGGUUAGAUAUGCAAGUGGAACUGAAAAAAUAUCUCACAUACUAUUCAUGCAUUUAUUUCUCCUUGCUUUACUAAAUAUGGCACUAGAUUUAGGAUUUCAUUCUCCAUUUUUACCNGCAUAUGAGCUCCGCAAUAUAAUGACAAAAAAAAGUAUGUGUAAUAAAAAAAUGUGUGUGUGUUAGCAGCUACAGAAGUCAUAGCAUAUGAGCUCCGCAUUAUAAUGACUACAAUAACAAAUAUAUAUUUAAUCAAAAUGAAAGCGAUGACCUUUUUAUUUAGCUAUGUCUGUGUUAGGCUGCAAAUUGUCACAAUAGUUAUCCAUCCUUCAGGCUAUUUCCGCUUAAAUGUAAGCUUCUGAAUGUCUAUAUCCCUUGAAAUUUACGGCCUACAUAUUUUUAUUUUUUGUUGUCAGAUACAGCCUACACAUUUCGAUUAGCCAAGUGUAGAAGCUAAUUAUCGAAUACUAAUAAAUCUCUCUUCUAGGUUAGACAUAAAACGACUACUAGCUUUGCUGCCCUUUACUUUACCUCAUACCUUUGAUAUUUACACAUUUUUGGUUAUUUUAUACCAGUUUUUCAUAUGUUUAUGCAUUAAUUUUAGUGUCAAAGGAAGACAUGGAAAAACUACGUCAAGCUCUGAAAACAUUAUCUGAAGCUGAAAAGCAGCUGAGAAUGUCAAAUGACAGGUUGACAUGGCUAACAGCUGCCCUCUUGCAACUAGCUCCUGAUCAACAAUAUAAUUUGCCAAGUUCUUCCGCAGAUACUAGUUUUAAUCAGAGUCCCUUGGCCCUAAAUUACGCUAAUGGAAAUGUAAGUAACAUGCCGCGGAGAAGUAAUGCUGAACAUACUGAUGUACCUAAUAAUGCAGCAGGAAUGGCAACAAAUUCUAGAAUGGAUAACCUUCAAGCUGGUUAUUAUGGUGACACUUACAAUAAUGCUACAAUGAAAGGUCGGACUAGUCUAGACAUUAAAGGACAUUCUGGGUUGGGAAUGAUUCCUCAGCAGACGUUUGGUGUUUCUGGUCAUAACAAUAUAGUAAAGAGCAGACAGUUUCCUGCUAAAUUUAAUAAGGAAAUCGAAGAGAUGUGGUUAGAGGUUCUGGACAAGAUCCAUUCAAAUAGCAUAAGGGAAUUUUUGUACCAAGAAGGCAGACUGGUCGGAGUCAGUUUUGGUGCAGGUACUAAUAGCAACUUGCAUCACCUCCUAACUUGUGCAGUAAAUGUUCCCUUUGUU
RNAcentral lists this long non-coding RNA (1837 nucleotides) under Daucus carota (carrot). RNAcentral describes it as "long non-coding RNA (DCAR_LNC001038)". The record is from RNAcentral. Lineage: Eukaryota; Viridiplantae; Streptophyta; Magnoliopsida; Apiales; Apiaceae.